This 498-nucleotide ribosomal RNA is filed under the name uncultured bacterium. RNAcentral's name for it is "partial 16S ribosomal RNA". It matches the Rfam family "Bacterial small subunit ribosomal RNA", at positions 30 to 523 of the family's 1533-position model. The record is from RNAcentral.
AUUGAACGCUGGCGGCAUGCCUUACACAUGCAAGUCGAACGGUAACGGGCCUUCGGGUGCCGACGAGUGGCGAACGGGUGAGUAAUACAUCGGAACGUGCCCGAUCGUGGGGGAUAACGAGGCGAAAGCUUUGCUAAUACCGCAUACGAUCUACGGAUGAAAGCAGGGGACCGCAAGGCCUUGCGCGGACGGAACGGCCGAUGGCAGAUUAGGUAGGUGGUGGGAUAAAAGCUUACCAAGCCGACGAUCUGUAGCUGGUCUGAGAGGAUGAUCAGCCACACUGGGACUGAGACACGGCCCAGACUCCUACGGGAGGCAGCAGUGGGGAAUUUUGGACAAUGGGCGCAAGCCUGAUCCAGCCAUGCCGCGUGCAGGGUGAAGGCCUUCGGGUUGUAAACUGCUUUUGUACGGAACGAAAAGCCUUCUUCUAAUACAGGAGGGUCAUGACGGUACCGUAAGAAUAAGCACCGGCUAACUACGUGCCAGCCGCCGCAGUAA